UUGUAUGAACAAAACCGAUGAUCCUUGUA
RNAcentral lists this non-coding RNA (29 nucleotides) under Rattus norvegicus (Norway rat). Lineage: Eukaryota; Metazoa; Chordata; Mammalia; Rodentia; Muridae. The record is from RNAcentral.